This 89-nucleotide transfer RNA is filed under the name Pseudomonadota bacterium. RNAcentral describes it as "Proteobacteria bacterium (wastewater metagenome) tRNA-Leu". It matches the Rfam family "tRNA". From Rfam's summary of the family: Transfer RNA (tRNA) molecules are approximately 80 nucleotides in length. Their secondary structure includes four short double-helical elements and three loops (D, anti-codon, and T loops). Lineage: Bacteria; Pseudomonadati; Pseudomonadota. The record is from RNAcentral.
GCUCGCGUGGUGGAACCGGUAGACACACAGGACUUAAAAUCCUGUGGGGGGCAACCCCCGUGCCAGUUCGAUUCUGGCCGCGAGCACCA